GUGGAUGUAGCCAAGUGGUAAGGCAGUGGAUUGUGAUUCCACCAUACGCGGGUUCGAUUCCCGUCAUUCACC
RNAcentral lists this transfer RNA (72 nucleotides) under Prototheca stagnorum. RNAcentral's name for it is "tRNA-His". It matches the Rfam family "tRNA". From Rfam's summary of the family: Transfer RNA (tRNA) molecules are approximately 80 nucleotides in length. Their secondary structure includes four short double-helical elements and three loops (D, anti-codon, and T loops). Lineage: Eukaryota; Viridiplantae; Chlorophyta; Trebouxiophyceae; Chlorellales; Chlorellaceae. The record is from RNAcentral.